UACAGAGGGUGCAAGCGUUCAUCGGAAUUACUGGGCGUAAAGCGUGCGUAGACGGUUAUGUAAGUCGGGUGUGAAAGCCCCGGGCUCAACCUGGGAAUGCCAUUCGAGACUGCAUAGCUAGGGUGCGGAAGAGGGAAGCGGAAUUUCCGGUGUAGCGGUGAAAUGCGUAGAUAUCAGGAGGAACACCGGUGGCGAAGGCGGGUCUCUGGGCAGUAACUGACGCUGAGGAGCGAAAGCGUGGGGAGCGAACAGG
This 253-nucleotide ribosomal RNA is filed under the name uncultured bacterium. RNAcentral's name for it is "partial 16S ribosomal RNA". It matches the Rfam family "Bacterial small subunit ribosomal RNA", at positions 524 to 776 of the family's 1533-position model. The record is from RNAcentral.